Molecule: ribosomal RNA, 899 nt
Filed under: Beauveria pseudobassiana
Lineage: Eukaryota; Fungi; Ascomycota; Sordariomycetes; Hypocreales; Cordycipitaceae
Description: partial large subunit ribosomal RNA
Rfam family: Eukaryotic large subunit ribosomal RNA
Source: RNAcentral
UAAGCAUAUCAAUAAGCGGAGGAAAAGAAACCAACAGGGAUUGCCCCAGUAACGGCGAGUGAAGCGGCAACAGCUCAAAUUUGAAAUCUGGCCCUCGGGUCCGAGUUGUAAUUUGUAGAGGAUGCUUUUGGCGAGGUGCCUUCCGAGUUCCCUGGAACGGGACGCCAUAGAGGGUGAGAGCCCCGUCUGGUCGGACACCGAGCCUCUGUAAAGCUCCUUCGACGAGUCGAGUAGUUUGGGAAUGCUGCUCAAAAUGGGAGGUAUAUGUCUUCUAAAGCUAAAUAUUGGCCAGAGACCGAUAGCGCACAAGUAGAGUGAUCGAAAGAUGAAAAGCACUUUGAAAAGAGGGUUAAAAAGUACGUGAAAUUGUUGAAAGGGAAGCGCUUAUGACCAGACUUGCGCCCGGUGAAUCAUCCAGCGUUCUCGCUGGUGCACUUUGCCGGGCACAGGCCAGCAUCAGUUUGGCGCGGGGGAAAAAGGCUUCGGGAAUGUGGCUCCCUCGGGAGUGUUAUAGCCCGCUGCGUAAUACCCUGCGCCGGACUGAGGUACGCGCAUUGCAAGGAUGCUGGCGUAAUGGUCAUCAGCGACCCGUCUUGAAACACGGACCAAGGAGUCGUCUUCGUAUGCGAGUGUUCGGGUGUCAAACCCCUACGCGUAAUGAAAGUGAACGCAGGUGAGAGCUUCGGCGCAUCAUCGACCGAUCCUGAUGUUCUCGGAUGGAUUUGAGUAAGAGCAUACGGGGCCGGACCCGAAAGAAGGUGAACUAUGCCUGUAUAGGGUGAAGCCAGAGGAAACUCUGGUGGAGGCUCGCAGCGGUUCUGACGUGCGAAUCGAUCGUCAAAUAUGGGCAUGGGGGCGAAAGACUAAUCGAACCUUCUAGUAGCUGGUUUCCGCCGAAG